UGUGAGGUUUGGUCCUAGCCUCAGUGUUAAUUGUAACCAGAAUUAUACAUGCAAGUUUCAGCACACCAGUGAGAAUGCCCUCAUCAACCUAUAAGUUGAUAAGGAGCAGGUAUCAGGCACACAUAUGUAGCCCAAGACACCUUGUUAAACCACACCCCCAAUGGUAUUCAGCAGUAAUAAACAUUGAUUUAUAAGCGUAAGCUUGAAUCAGUUAGAGUUAACUGGGUUGGUAAAUCUCGUGCCAGCCACCGCGGUUAUACGAGUAACCCUUAUUAAUAUUUCCACGGCGUAAAGAGUGGUUUAAGAAAUAAUCCUUAAUAAUUAAAGUCAAGACCCCAUUAAGCCGUUAUACGCUCUCAUGGGUAGAAUUAUCAGUAACGAAAGUAACUUUAUUUUACUAGACUACUUGAUGCCACGAUAGUUAGGUCCCAAACUAGGAUUAGAUACCCUACUAUGCCUAACCAUAAACUUAGACAAAAUUUUACUAAAAAUGUCCGCCAGAGUACUACAAGCGCUAGCUUAAAACCCAAGGGACUUGGCGGUACUCCAGACCCCCCUAGAGGAGCCUGUUCUAUAAUCGAUAAUCCCCGUUAAACCUCACCACUUCUUGCUAAUACCGCCUAUAUACCACCGUCGUCAGCUUACCCUGUGAAGGGUAAAAAGUAAGCAAAAAGAAAUAUCCUCAAUACGUCAGGUCAAGGUGUAGCGAAUGAAAUGGAAAGAAAUGGGCUACAUUCUCUAUUAAGAGAAUACGAAUAGUGGACUGAAAACCCACUUAAAGGUGGAUUUAGCAGUAAGGAAAAAUCAGAGUGUUUUCCUGAAGUAGGCUCUGGAGUGCGCACACACCGCCCGUCACUCUCCUCAACAAAGCCCUUAUUUUUUAUAAAACCUUAUUUUAUUCAAGAGGAGGCAAGUCGUAACAUGGUAAGUGUACUGGAAAGUGUACUUGGAAU
RNAcentral lists this non-coding RNA (953 nucleotides) under Trigonognathus kabeyai (viper dogfish). Its description in RNAcentral is "12S ribosomal RNA". It matches the Rfam family "Bacterial small subunit ribosomal RNA". The record is from RNAcentral. Lineage: Eukaryota; Metazoa; Chordata; Chondrichthyes; Squaliformes; Etmopteridae.